GGGGGAAGAGGUAACUGACCCCAACCCUGACUUAUGUGCUGGACUGGGGAGCACCUGGAUCCCAAGGAAAACAGGCACAAGUGCUGUAGGCACUGUCCUGGGUGUGCUGGGAGAAGCCUGCAGGGCUAGGCUAGAUCUGAAGAGUACAC
Empidonax traillii (willow flycatcher) is the source of this 149-nucleotide long non-coding RNA. RefSeq lists it as uncharacterized. NCBI's taxonomy places the organism in Eukaryota, Metazoa, Chordata, Aves, Passeriformes, Tyrannidae. The record is from RefSeq and is a predicted model, not a curated record. The transcript has 3 exons.